GAAAAUCAUGAGAUUUUUGUCGCCCUUGCAGACUUGCGCAUCAAAAAAUGGAUGCUUGGUGGUGAUUGACUCUCUUUCUGAUUC
Rosa rugosa (rugosa rose) is the source of this 84-nucleotide small nucleolar RNA. RefSeq annotates it as small nucleolar RNA U31b. The transcript has a single exon. NCBI's taxonomy places the organism in Eukaryota, Viridiplantae, Streptophyta, Magnoliopsida, Rosales, Rosaceae. The record is from RefSeq and is a predicted model, not a curated record.